GAUGAAGAACGCAGCGAAAUGCGAUACUUGGUGUGAAUUGCAGAAUCCCGUGAACCAUCGAGUCUUUGAACGCAAGUUGCGCCUCAAGCCAUUAGGUUGAGGGCACGUCUGCCUGGGCGUCACAUAUCGUUGCCUGAUGCCAGUUUCCUCGUGAUGGGUGACUGUGCAGGGCGAAUGAUGGCUUCCCGUGAGCAUUGUUGCCUCAUGGUUGGCUGAAAAUUGAGUCCUUGGUAGGGAGCGCCGUGAUAGAUGGUGGUUGAGUGACGAACGAGACCCAAUCAUGUGAGACCCCUACCGAAUUUGGCCUUCAUGACCCACAUGCGUCUUUGGAACGCUCAUGACGAGACCUCAGGUCAGGCGGGGCUACCCGCUGAGUUUAAGCAUAUCAAUAAGCGGAGGA
RNAcentral lists this unclassified non-coding RNA (400 nucleotides) under soil metagenome. Its description in RNAcentral is "partial contains 5.8S ribosomal RNA, internal transcribed spacer 2, and large subunit ribosomal RNA". The stretch from base 1 to 122 matches the Rfam family "5.8S ribosomal RNA", at positions 35 to 154 of the family's 154-position model. The record is from RNAcentral.